RNAcentral lists this ribosomal RNA (301 nucleotides) under uncultured bacterium. Its description in RNAcentral is "partial 16S ribosomal RNA". It matches the Rfam family "Bacterial small subunit ribosomal RNA", at positions 509 to 807 of the family's 1533-position model. The record is from RNAcentral.
CAGUCGCCGCGGUAAUACGGAGGGUGCAAGCGUUAAUCGGAAUUACUGGGCGUAAAGCGCACGCAGGCGGUCUGACAAGUCAGAUGUGAAAUCCCCGGGCUUAACCUGGGAACUGCAUUUGAAACUGUCAGGCUGGAGUAUUGUAGAGGGUGGUAGAAUUCCAGGUGUAGCGGUGAAAUGCGUAGAGAUCUGGAGGAAUACCGGUGGCGAAGGCGGCCCCCUGGACAAAGACUGACGCUCAGGUGCGAAAGCGUGGGGAGCAAACAGGAUUAGAUACCCGCGUAGUCCCUGUCUCUUAUAC